GGAGGGGGAUAACUACUGGAAACGGUAGCUAAUACCGCAUAACGUCGCAAGACCAAAGAGGGGGACCUUCGGGCCUCUUGCCAUCGGAUGUGCCCAGAUGGGAUUAGCUUGUAGGUGAGGUAACGGCUCACCUAGGCGACGAUCCCUAGCUGGUCUGAGAGGAUGACCAGCCACACUGGAACUGAGACACGGUCCAGACUCCUACGGGAGGCAGCAGUGGGGAAUAUUGCACAAUGGGCGCAAGCCUGAUGCAGCCAUGCCGCGUGUAUGAAGAAGGCCUUCGGGUUGUAAAGUACUUUCAGCGGGGAGGAAGGGAGUGAGGUUAAUAACCUCAUUCAUUGACGUUACCCGCAGAAGAAGCACCGGCUAACUCCGUGCCAGCAGCCGCGGUAAUACGGAGGGUGCGAGCGUUAAUCGGAAUUACUGGGCGUAAAGCGCACGCAGGCGGUCUGUCAAGUCGGAUGUGAAAUCCCCGGGCUCAACCUGGGAACUGCAUUCGAAACUGGCAGGCUGGAGUCUUGUAGAGGGGGGUAGAAUUCCAGGUGUAGCGGUGAAAUGCGUAGAGAUCUGGAGGAAUACCGGUGGCGAAGGCGGCCCCCUGGACAAAGACUGACGCUCAGGUGCGAAAGCGUGGGGAGCAAACAGGAUUAGAUACCCUGGUAGUCCACGCUGUAAACGAUGUCGACGUGGAGGUUGUUCCCUUGAGGAGUGGCUUCCGGAGCUA
This 724-nucleotide ribosomal RNA is filed under the name uncultured bacterium. Its description in RNAcentral is "bacterial SSU rRNA". It matches the Rfam family "Bacterial small subunit ribosomal RNA", at positions 135 to 854 of the family's 1533-position model. The record is from RNAcentral.